Peniophora sp. CONT is the source of this 93-nucleotide non-coding RNA. The record is from Rfam. Lineage: Eukaryota; Fungi; Basidiomycota; Agaricomycetes; Russulales; Peniophoraceae.
CCUUCGAUAGCUCAGUGGUAGAGCGCGGAAUGCAAAUGUGGCCUUCCGAUUAGAUUUCAUCCCGAGGCGCUGGUUCGAUGCCAGCUCGAAGGA